UGAGUAAUGUCUGGGAAACUGCCCGAUGGAGGGGGAUAACUACUGGAAACGGUAGCUAAUACCGCAUAACGUCUUCGGACCAAAGUGGGGGACCUUCGGGCCUCACACCAUCGGAUGUGCCCAGAUGGGAUUAGCUAGUAGGUGGGGUAAUGGCUCACCUAGGCGACGAUCCCUAGCUGGUCUGAGAGGAUGACCAGCCACACUGGAACUGAGACACGGUCCAGACUCCUACGGGAGGCAGCAGUGGGGAAUAUUGCACAAUGGGCGCAAGCCUGAUGCAGCCAUGCCGCGUGUAUGAAGAAGGCCUUCGGGUUGUAAAGUACUUUCAGUGGGGAGGAAGGCGUUAAGGUUAAUAACCUUGGCGACUGACGUUACCCGCAGAAGAAGCACCGGCUAACUCCGUGCCAGCAGCCGCGGUAAUACGGAGGGUGCAAGCGUUAAUCGGAAUUACUGGGCGUAAAGCGCACGCAGGCGGUCUGUCAAGUCGGAUGUGAAAUCCCCGGG
This 504-nucleotide ribosomal RNA is filed under the name uncultured bacterium. RNAcentral's name for it is "bacterial SSU rRNA". It matches the Rfam family "Bacterial small subunit ribosomal RNA", at positions 107 to 607 of the family's 1533-position model. The record is from RNAcentral.